This is a long non-coding RNA of Scaptodrosophila lebanonensis, 415 nucleotides long. RefSeq lists it as uncharacterized. The transcript has 3 exons. The record is from RefSeq and is a predicted model, not a curated record. NCBI's taxonomy places the organism in Eukaryota, Metazoa, Arthropoda, Insecta, Diptera, Drosophilidae.
CCGGCGUUAGACGAGAUGAGGCCCUUGGAUAAGGGACGGACAGCGGGAUGCUGUUCCGUUGUGGGGGUCGGCGGACAGACCGACAGUGAACAAAUAUGGCGUAUCCAACGCCAGGAACAAGCUGGGGCGAACGGUCGUAGGCUGCACAGGACUUGGAAGGAACAGGAGGUGCACCUGAAGAUCCGGCUCGAAGGACAAUGUUGGCGUGGGGCGUUGGGGGUGAAAGUCCAAAAACCGCAAGGGAAGUAAAAAUGGCGUCUGCUUUCCUUUUCACUGUGACGUGACUCGCACUGGCGCUUAGCUGCCCAUAUGAAAGAGGGAGAGGCCGCCGACGCUAGCAGCGCUCUGCCAGCAGAUGUUGCUGGCAAGCGUUGCCAUGUCAACACUGGCAGAGUGCUGCCACAUCAACAUGCAC